This 850-nucleotide ribosomal RNA is filed under the name uncultured Corynebacterium sp. RNAcentral's name for it is "bacterial SSU rRNA". It matches the Rfam family "Bacterial small subunit ribosomal RNA", at positions 41 to 904 of the family's 1533-position model. Lineage: Bacteria; Bacillati; Actinomycetota; Actinomycetes; Mycobacteriales; Corynebacteriaceae. The record is from RNAcentral.
GGCGUGCUUAACACAUGCAAGUCGAACGGAAAGGCCCCGCUUGCGGGGUACUCGAGUGGCGAACGGGUGAGUAACACGUGGGUGAUCUACCCUGCACUUCGGGAUAAGCCUGGGAAACUGGGUCUAAUACCGGAUAGGACCCCUCUUUAGUGUGGGGGGUGGAAAGUUUUUUCGGUGUGGGAUGAGCCCGCGGCCUAUCAGCUUGUUGGUGGGGUAAUGGCCUACCAAGGCGUCGACGGGUAGCCGGCCUGAGAGGGUGGACGGCCACAUUGGGACUGAGAUACGGCCCAGACUCCUACGGGAGGCAGCAGUGGGGAAUAUUGCACAAUGGGCGGAAGCCUGAUGCAGCGACGCCGCGUGGGGGAUGACGGCCUUCGGGUUGUAAACCUCUUUCGCUAGGGACGAAGCUUUUGUGACGGUACCUAGAUAAGAAGCACCGGCUAACUACGUGCCAGCAGCCGCGGUAAUACGUAGGGUGCGAGCGUUGUCCGGAAUUACUGGGCGUAAAGAGCUCGUAGGUGGUUUGUCGCGUCGUCUGUGAAAUUCCGGGGCUUAACCUCGGGCGUGCAGGCGAUACGGGCAAUACUUGAGUGCUGUAGGGGAGACUGGAAUUCCUGGUGUAGCGGUGGAAUGCGCAGAUAUCAGGAGGAACACCGAUGGCGAAGGCAGGUCUCUGGGCAGUAACUGACGCUGAGGAGCGAAAGCAUGGGUAGCGAACAGGAUUAGAUACCCUGGUAGUCCAUGCCGUAAACGGUGGGCGCUAGGUGUAGGGGUCUUCCACGACUUCUGUGCCGUAGCUAACGCAUUAAGCGCCCCGCCUGGGGAGUACGGCCGCAAGGCUAAAACUCAA